CAGCAUCUACUGAUAGACCUGAGGCCAUCACUCAUGUCCUCUUAGGUUUGCACAAGGAUGCAACAUCAACGCUCCUUGCGCUUUCUGGCUGUCGAGUGGCAGUCUGGAUUGAAUUUAGGAGAACAGAU
This is a small nucleolar RNA of Chanos chanos (milkfish), 128 nucleotides long. RefSeq annotates it as small nucleolar RNA SNORA31. The transcript has a single exon. NCBI's taxonomy places the organism in Eukaryota, Metazoa, Chordata, Actinopteri, Gonorynchiformes, Chanidae. The record is from RefSeq and is a predicted model, not a curated record.